AGAGUUUGAUCAUGGCUCAGGAUGAACGCUAGCUACAGGCUUAACACAUGCAAGUCGAGGGGCAUCAUGCUUAUAGCAAUAUAAGUGAUGGCGACCGGCGCACGGGUGAGUAACACGUAUCCAACCUGCCGAUAACUCGGGGAUAGCCUUUCGAAAGAAAGAUUAAUACCCGAUGGCAUAAUAGAACCGCAUGGUUUGAUUAUUAAAGAAUUUCGGUUAUCGAUGGGGAUGCGUUCCAUUAGGCAGUUGGUGGGGUAACGGCCCACAAACCUUCGAUGGAUAGGGGUUCUGAGAGGAAGGUCCCCCANAGUUGGAACUGAGACACGGUCCAAACUCCGUACGGGAGCA
RNAcentral lists this ribosomal RNA (348 nucleotides) under uncultured bacterium. Its description in RNAcentral is "bacterial SSU rRNA". It matches the Rfam family "Bacterial small subunit ribosomal RNA", at positions 8 to 349 of the family's 1533-position model. The record is from RNAcentral.